AAAAUAAUAAUAAUAAAAUAAAAACACAAAAAGAAACCAAAAACAAACAAAUAAAUUAAAUAAUGAAAUAAUUAAAUACAUAAAUGUAGGGGGCUGCAUUUCCUUUUCAUUUUUUGUUUCGGGAGAUUAACAAUGUCUCACCCCAUAUGCAUGCUGGAUUCUAUCAUCAACCACAUGCUCAUCAAUGGCUCUGAAAUAAUAAAGACAUUGUGAGCUAAAUAUUUACUCCAAAGUGAGCUGCAAGUCAUGUAAAAGGAGCACUGACAAUUGUAAAAUCCUGGACAACUCCCCUGACACCUUCUUGUUGAUGUGAAUCCAGACAGCGAGCUCUGAAGUGGUGCACUUUCAUGGCAGAAAAAAAAGACGCCUGCUCCUAUGGCAACAGAAGAUCAGUUAAAUGAAGACAAACAGGAGGCCUCUGAACCUCCACCCACGCACGCGGAUGUGCAUUUAAUGACAGUUGCUGCUGGUCAAGCUGCUCGGCUCUCAGGCUUACAAGACAUUCUGUAAAUGUUUGAACAGAAGACGUCUGGAGAGACUCCGGCCUGCAGGCUGAUGGUUUUUGGAUCACAUGCAAUGUAUAAUUUUAAGCUUGCUUAGAGUGUGCCAGCAUGGAACUCUGAGCGGCAUUACAGAUGCAAGUCAGUUCUUAAUGUCAAAUGCUCUCCAGUUUUUCUAUUAGGGUUAAGGCUCUAACAAUUAAAGAAGAAACCGAUUGUGUGGUCUGAAACUGCAA
This is a long non-coding RNA of Oryzias melastigma (Indian medaka), 736 nucleotides long. RefSeq lists it as uncharacterized. The transcript has 3 exons. NCBI's taxonomy places the organism in Eukaryota, Metazoa, Chordata, Actinopteri, Beloniformes, Adrianichthyidae. The record is from RefSeq and is a predicted model, not a curated record.